GCUCUCUGGUUACCCUAGCAGCAAGGAGGGGGAAAAGAACACCAAAAGGAAAAACAGUGUCAUGUGUGGCACAGCCAGCUUCGUUUUCUGCAGAGGACUUCGGGUAAAUGCAGUGAUCAUCUCUGCCACAGCACAGGGACACCUAAAAGCUGCCUGUGUUAAUCAUAGAGCUCUGUACUGCAGAGGGAUUUAACAGCUCUGGGCACAUUUUCACCCUGCUUGGGUCCACCUGAGCCACCUCUGCACAGCACCACCAAGGCAGCACACCCCAGUGAAGCAAGUCUUGAGCCUAGCAUGGGAAGUUCCCAGCACAGCCCUAAGCUGAUGGACUUGGACUGGAUCUUACUUGGUUUACAGUUGUCACUGCAGUGCUUGAAAUUUAUGCUGAAAUGUUCAGAGUUUCCUUUUUUCUGCUGCCAAAGCAUCUGUGGGAAAGAGGGGAAAAUCCAGCUCCAGACCUGAGAGAUGGAGCUGAAAAGCAUAAUCCUGCAAAGCUGGGAGGAAACCUCUGUCCCUUCCUGAAACUCUUGGUAUUGUCUCUCUGCAGCCAAAGAGCUUGAAUUAUGUAUCUGGAAGCUACAGAGCUUAUGUUUCACUCAGCCUUAGUCCAGCUCAUCACGACCAGGCUUUUCCACCAAGACAAUGCUUUGACAAGAGGAUGAUACUACACAUGGCUCACCCCAGUGACCAGUGGUUUAAGCACUGCAACCCCUGGAUGCUCCUCUCAUACAGCAGAAGCAGACCCACAGCGAGCACAACAUGGGUCACGUCUCCAACGCAAGACGCUUCUGCGCAUCAACCUGUUUGUUCCCGUGGUAAUGAUCUCCCCUUGCAAUGCCUUCGGUGAGGUGUCCUUACCUCUGGAAAACUGGCCAUGUUCACUACAAUGAGCUGCGGUGACUUCAGGGAGAUCUGCC
Molecule: long non-coding RNA, 917 nt
Organism: Pezoporus flaviventris
Lineage: Eukaryota; Metazoa; Chordata; Aves; Psittaciformes; Psittacidae
Exons: 3
Source: RefSeq, a predicted model, not a curated record